AUCGCGAAAUUAGAAUAUUAAUUGCAUCCGGAUUUGUAGCACAGUAGCGGAGUUAAGUUCUGGAAAGCUGUUCGAAUUUAGAUUUGCUCUUUGGUUUCCACAAACAUGAAGUUAGUGCAAUUGUCAUUCAUUCAUAUUUUCGCAUACGUUCUCUUGAUUGGACUAAUUGACAACGUAGUCGAAGCCUUAUUCGUCAAGGAAUGUUAUGAUAUGGUACAGCAGUAUACCUAUGUAGAAAGCUGUGCGAGGUAUUGCCAGGAAUAUUGCUUACCUAAAUGUACCUUUUUUGAAUGCGGAGAUGGUGAUGCGAAGUGUUUUUGUGAUCCACAACGUUUCAGGGAGUAUAAAAAAUCUGGCGGUAAGAGGCGUAGGAGAUCCAUCAUUGGCGAGAAGAUGAAAGCUUCGGGUUGAAAUAUGCACAUUGUAUUUUGCUUAGUUCAAAGUAAACGAUUGAUGAAAUUAAAAAAUCAAAACUCA
This is a long non-coding RNA of Planococcus citri (citrus mealybug), 477 nucleotides long. RefSeq lists it as uncharacterized. The record is from RefSeq and is a predicted model, not a curated record. The transcript has 2 exons. NCBI's taxonomy places the organism in Eukaryota, Metazoa, Arthropoda, Insecta, Hemiptera, Pseudococcidae.